AAAGCUGAUUGCGUAAUUGGAGUAACACGUUCAGUGGAAUUUUGGAGCAGCUUGUGUGACUCGAAUCCUGAUGAGUGAUUUAUAUAAGAGAGAAGAGGGAUGAAUUCAGGUCGAGGAGCGCGAGACGGAGGCAGACAGAGCUCUUGAGAUCUAACGAGACACCCUGAAGUGUCGCAUACGGAGAGCUUUUGAUAGUCUUGGUGAGGUAGGCUGGAUUAACCCUAGACCUGGUCCCACUGGAUUAUGACGGUCCUGCUCCGAGACGCUCUAUUCCUGACUGGGCCAAAAAUAAAACGCAAUAACUGGCUUCUCACAUGCCGCAAUGUUUUGGUGACGUCAGCGUAACUCUUUGCUUAGAGAAAAUUGUUUGUGAAGGUGGUCCGAACCGAACGGCACUGUAUCGCCACCCAUCGGUCAUCAGAACGCUCUUGACACUAUCCGUGAUCUGAACUCUCCUACGUACCUCGAUAUCUCCUGAGUGCCCAUGUGAUUCUUCGACCAUUGAUCUCUCACUGCAAAGAGAAGAGACACAUAUUGAUAUUCACGUAUUGUGUGGCUUUGCCGUCUUGACACGUAACGAACUCACCUGGCUUUCACAGAAGCGAAUUUACCUGGCUUCUACGGACACAAACUCCACAGAACCCACACAAAGAUUACACUUAGUUCCCUCUCACGAACCCUUGUUUAAAUAAAGACUGUGUUGAAUUCACGUACCUCUGCCUCCGUGUACUAACCUGACAUCUGCUUUAUAGUUUAGACUUUUUUUUUUUUUUUUUUUUUUUUUUUUUUAGCAUGAAAUGUCUUUUAGUAUGAUUGUACAAACGUCCUCCUUCAGGAGGAAUGACACUCCCAAUCCUCAAAACAUCUCAAAUCUAUUGAGGAAUGUUUGUUUGUUCAGCUCUCGAUCAUCAGUGAAUUGCAUUUAAUUAUUUGUUAUGAUCAUUUAAAUAACAUUUUGAGAGUGACGACUGACAUAUCAUAUUAUGUAUGUAUCUGUUGUACUGUUAUAAAGAUCUCAUUGAUUUACAUCACAAGAAUCAGAAGUUCGUAUAAAUAUCAGCAUCUGUAUCCAAUUACAUAUUUUUGUUCAGUUUGAGUCUCUGAAUAAAACUGAGCUGUUUUUUCCCUCCA
Molecule: long non-coding RNA, 1131 nt
Organism: Carassius gibelio (silver crucian carp)
Lineage: Eukaryota; Metazoa; Chordata; Actinopteri; Cypriniformes; Cyprinidae
Exons: 2
Source: RefSeq, a predicted model, not a curated record